UACGGGGGGGGCAAGCGUUGUUCGGAAUUACUGGGCGUAAAGGGUCUGUAGGUGGCUUGUUAAGUCAGACGUGAAAUCCCUCAGCUUAACUGGGGAACUGCGUCUGAUACUGGCGAGCUUGAGUGCAGGAGAGGAACGCGGAAUUCCAGGUGUAGCGGUGAAAUGCGUAGAUAUCUGGAGGAACACCGGUGGCGAAGGCGGCGUUCUGGACUGUAACUGACACUGAGAGACGAAAGCCAGGGUAGCAAACGGG
Molecule: ribosomal RNA, 253 nt
Filed under: uncultured bacterium
Lineage: Bacteria
Description: partial 16S ribosomal RNA
Rfam family: Bacterial small subunit ribosomal RNA
Source: RNAcentral